GCCCUCGUAGCUCAGGGGAUAGAGCACCGGCCUCCGGAGCCGGUGGCGGAGGUUCGAAUCCUCCCGGGGGCACCG
RNAcentral lists this transfer RNA (75 nucleotides) under Acidimicrobiales bacterium. Its description in RNAcentral is "tRNA-Arg". It matches the Rfam family "tRNA". Rfam says of the family: Transfer RNA (tRNA) molecules are approximately 80 nucleotides in length. The record is from RNAcentral. Lineage: Bacteria; Bacillati; Actinomycetota; Acidimicrobiia; Acidimicrobiales.